GACGAACGCUGGCGGCGUGCUUAACACAUGCAAGUCGAGCGGUAAGGCCCUUUCGGGGGUACACGAGCGGCGAACGGGCGAGUAACACGUGGGUGACCUGCCCUCAGCUCUGGGAUAAGCCUGGGAAACCGGGUCUAAUACUGGAUAUGACUCCAUGACGCAUGUUGUGGGGUGGAAAGCCUUGUGCGGCUGAGGAUGGGCCCGCGGCCUAUCAGCUUGUUGGUGGGGUGAUGGCCUACCAAGGCGACGACGGGUAGCCGGCCUGAGAGGGCGACCGGCCACACUGGGACUGAGACACGGCCCAGACUCCUACGGGAGGCAGCAGUGGGGAAUCUUGCGCAAUGGGCGAAAGCCUGACGCAGCGACGCCGCGUGAGGGAUGACGGCC
This 387-nucleotide ribosomal RNA is filed under the name uncultured bacterium. Its description in RNAcentral is "bacterial SSU rRNA". It matches the Rfam family "Bacterial small subunit ribosomal RNA", at positions 28 to 416 of the family's 1533-position model. The record is from RNAcentral.